This is a long non-coding RNA of Fukomys damarensis (Damara mole-rat), 366 nucleotides long. RefSeq lists it as uncharacterized. The record is from RefSeq and is a predicted model, not a curated record. Lineage: Eukaryota; Metazoa; Chordata; Mammalia; Rodentia; Bathyergidae. The transcript is spliced from 4 exons.
AGAGAAGGAUAUAUUUUCCAUCCCAUGCAGGAGUCACUGUGGACACCUCACUGACAGCUGGCUGGCUGCAGGCUUGUCCCAAGACAGCACAGGCAGAGGCAAGGCGCUAAGGCAAUGAAGCAAGGGCUUUCUUAUGCAUGUGUGAAUCAUCAGUGAUUUCAGAAAAUCACUAAAAUUGCAGCAGCAGUACUUUUCUCGAGUGGGUGAUGGACAGGAGAAAGCAUUAGCCCAGCAGCAGGAGAUCUGGAUUCCAAAAUGAGUAGUUAACAAGGCCAAGUUGGUUUUACAAAGCAGUCUUAGAGCCAUGGAUCAGGUACACUCCCGCUUAAGAUUCUACCAUGGGCAUGGACUUUACUCUACAAUUCA